Vicia faba (fava bean) is the source of this 207-nucleotide non-coding RNA. NCBI's taxonomy places the organism in Eukaryota, Viridiplantae, Streptophyta, Magnoliopsida, Fabales, Fabaceae. The record is from the annotation of a GenBank genome assembly.
AUGGCUACAAACUGCAGCAGAAUAUUUACAUUUAGAGAUUUAGUUAGAGGUAACAGUUGUGUACGGAAUCCCUGGUUAUGCCAAACGCUUGCUGCUGUAGAAUGUUUCCAAAAUCAACAUAUGAAACAUUCUCUACUAAGUUGUUUCAGCAUUUCCAGUCUGACCCAAGGUUGGAAAAGGAAAAGUUUUGACAAACAGAUUUUAUAG